UUGUCGAGACGAACACAACGAGCGAUUUUGUGAACCUGUAAAAAUAAGCGGUGGCUCUUGCUGCUGCGAUAAAAUCCACCCGAGUCAUCGCCUCAUCCCCUCUUUGGGGUGGGGACGUGAUGAAGGAUGGAUGAACCCUCAAAUCGGCGCAGCGUUGCGCCAAGGGAAUCUUGAAGCACAAGCCCAUAAAUGGGUUUCGUGGGAUGGGGUGCUGUCGCACGCCAUAUUGAUUGACACGACUCUCGGCAAUGGAUAACUCGGCUCUCGCAUCGAUGAAGAGCGCAGCGAAAUGCGAUAUGUGGUGCGAAUUGCAGAAUCCCGCGAACCAUCGAGUCUUUGAACGCAAGUUGCGCCUGAGGCCAACCGGCUGAGGGCACGUCCGCCUGGGCGUCAAGCAUUUUAUCACUCCGUGCCUACUCUCCCAUCCAUGGAUGUGUUGCUAAGGCUCGGAUGUGCACGGUGGCUCGUCGUGCCCCUUGGUGCGGCGGGCUGAAGGGCGGGUCAUCUUCUCGUUGGCUGCCAACAAUAAGGGGUGGAUUAAAUAAGGCCUAUGCUAUUGUGUCAAGCGCGCCCGAGAGAUGGUCAUACUUUUUAGGUGAUCCCAAUUCAUGCGUUGAUCCAUGGAUGGCGUAUCGAAUGUGACCCCAGGAUGGGCGAGGCCA
RNAcentral lists this ribosomal RNA (662 nucleotides) under Dendrobium huoshanense. Its description in RNAcentral is "eukaryotic LSU rRNA". The stretch from base 238 to 393 matches the Rfam family "5.8S ribosomal RNA". The record is from RNAcentral. Lineage: Eukaryota; Viridiplantae; Streptophyta; Magnoliopsida; Asparagales; Orchidaceae.